CAAAAUCAGCAACAUCUAUUCUACUUUUUAACUACUCCAUCCACAGUGAAUCAAAUUUAUAUCUUUUGGUUUUAUUAUUUGUAGCUCUAUUUAAUCUUUCAAUCCGGUUUUAUUAUUUGUAGCUCUAUUUAUUCUUUCAAUCCAUUGACUAGCAAUAUUUUUUUACUAAAAAAAAUUAUAUUCAUUCUAAUUAAUAGCAUACAUCAAUAAAAAAAAAAAACAACACAAAUUCAACAUUAUUAAAACUAAAUAAAUAAUGAAUCAGUGAAAAAAAAAACUCAUGUCUCUUGAUCAAACAUGUAAAUAUAUAAUUGAACACAACUUCAAUCUCUAACUAGGCUCACAAUCUAGACAACCAAAAGAAUGAAAGUGUUACAAUUUUUCUCCUAAACAAAAUUUUGUCCUCAAAAUUUCUGUAUUGAUAUAAAGUAAAAAUUAACGUGUGUAUAAAGCUCUCUCAUUUUACUCUUUAGCUCCCUAAUACUAGUUAGUACUUUUCACAAUUGCUUCACUCUAGAUUUCCUUUACCAAUAGAAUAUUUUUUCAUCUAUAAGCUUUGAUAUUUGAUUCCCACCUUGGCUAACUUCCUUUACUCUUUGGGUGGCUUCUAAGAUGAUGGCUAAAAUAAAUCCCUCAUUUGUGGAGCAGAGUGAAAUUAUGAUGCAGAUAUUUAAUAAUUUUAUUAUAAAAAUUAUAUUACGUGAUUCAAACUAUUUGAAAUUCUACUUGAUUAUGGUUUAUGAAUUAUGCAUAUCAAAUAACAUAUCACAGUGGUAUUGGCUCAUAAGUUAUGCAUAUUAAAUAUCAUAGUUUUCAUGUAUAUUAUAAUAGUAACAAGAAAUAUUCAAUAUAUUGACAGUAGAAUGUCUAUAAAUAAAUUAUUGGUCCUUAAUAUAAAAUAGUGAGUGAGAGAUUAAAAACUUGAAAAAAUCAAUAAUAUAAAAAAUUAAAACUCUUCCUCUUUAUAAUAAUGGCUAAAAGUAAUUAUUUUAAGAGUAUAAUUUAUUCUGUAUUAUGAAAUUAACAUUUCUGGUUUUUUUGUUUUUGUUGAGAUGUUAUAGUAAAUUUUUUACAAAAUAUUCCUAAAAUUAAUCUUGAUGUUAUAUUGUCACAUUUGGAGAGUUGUGAAACAGGCAUACAUGUAAAAGCACAGUGGACCUCUCAUUAGUUCACUUUUUUUAGAACUGGAUACUCUUGAGAGAAUAAUUGACAAUUGAGAAUAUAAUAAAAAAGAGGAAUCCUUAGUAUCAUUAAUAGUAUAUAUUUACGUAAGAUUCUUGGCUUAUCCUUUUGGCCUUUUGUCAUGUUUACCACACAAGACAGGAAAGUCAUCGCAACUACAAUAUUAAUUAACUUUUAUUUUUUAUUUUUUUAUCUUUGGAUUUUUGUUUGAUUUUACGAUAAUAAAAAUUAAUUUUGUCUAUAUAAGGUUCUUUUUUUGUCAGUUAAAAUUGAUUUUUAAAAUAUAAAAUUAAUUUUAUUAUUUGAAUAUUAUUGAGUAAAAUUGAUUACUUAAAAAAAAUUCUGAAAUUCGUUCUAACUUAAGUUAAAAUUUAUAGUUGAUAAAUUCAAACAUAAUUUUUGCAUUUAAAUUUAUAAUUCAAUACACUUUUAUAAGAAUAUAUUUAAUUAUAAAUUAUUUUACUUUCAAUUCACUUUAAAAUAAAAUCAAAUUGUUACCGUAAAACCUAGCUAAUAGACAAAUAUAAAAAGUGAAUUGUACCAUACUGCAAAAUCAAUUCAACUUAUUAACAGAAAAAAAAUGUCAAUAAUUAUUCCAAUUAUGAUAUCUUUAAAAAUAAAACCAUGCAAACUUUAGAUAUUUAGAUUAAGAUAUUUAAUUUAACAACGUGACAACCAAAAGCUUAUAAGGUAGGAGAGUUGUUCAACAAACCAACGUAAAUCGGAUUUUGAUCCAUUAUUACCAAAUUAAUUUGCAUCACCACGAUGUGAGACAAUUGCUCCAUGUUUAGAACAUAUAUGUCAUUGUACAUGUAGUGGUUUGAAUAUAUAAUUAGGAUGAUUAGAUAAGAUAAUAAGAUAAUCUGUAUUAGGUCUUUAAUAUUCAGAUUAAUUAAAUUAUUUAAUUAACGAAGAAGCUUUUACUUUUACUUUUCUCCUUAUUAAUAAAAAAAUUUUGUCUACGUAAACUUAUCAAUUAUUUAAGACACGUAUUGUGGAAUAAUCAUAUCAAAUAAUGUGAUAAAUUUAAUUUGAUAAUCCAAAAAUAUCUGCCACUAGUCGUCUUUGAAUCUUGACUUGUUAAUAAAAAAUCUAAUUGAGAUGAAACUAUCCGCUACGUGUAUCUCAUAUUAUAGUCGCUGUAAAAAGUGAUUAAUCUUUGCGUGUAAUUCUAUCACACAAUUAAAUAUUUAUUACAAAAACCCGAAUUUGAAUUAUGCUAUUGAUAUAAAGGUUUGUUGGAGAUAAUAUAUAAUCAAAAGAGGAAUUCUUAUAGUGAGUAAACUAAUUCUAUAAACUAAAUAUUAUUGUCAACAUGAAUUUUGCGAAACUAUACUUUCCAACUUGUAUGUCAUCGCACGUUUGGUAGCCUUUUAGAUGCAAUUAGUUUUAUUUUAAAAUAAUGGAUCAAAACUAAAUAUAUGCAUUACCAUAAUAAAUUUGCCUAUCUGAUCAGUCCAUUACAAAAUAGUUAAUUGCGUGCGAUUUUUAUUGUUCCUCAAUCUCAAUUCAACACAAUGUAUUUAUUUUGAAUAUAAUAAUUUUAAAUUCAAACAAACAAAACUAUUAUAAUGUAUUACAUUCUUUGUACUUUCAAACAAUAGAAUGAAAAUUUUAUUCUACAAUUACGACAUAAAAUAUCUAAACAAUAAAAUAAAAUAUUUGUUUUAUUUUGUUCCGUUCUAUUUCAUUUUUUUCCUCUUAUUUUUAAAUAUCUCAGUCUUAAACUCCACAAAAGAGAUUAAAUAGGUUACACACCUUCUUCAAAAACUACAUUAAAAAAUAAAAUAAAAAAUAAAUGGAUGACUAUUUAGUUAUACUUCAGUUGCUUCUUUUUAUUGUCCAAGGGAGUCCAAGGGAGCCUAAUAUUCGAAAUGAGCUAAACAAGGAUUCAUAAGAGACUUAGACACCACAUUUCAACUCAAAACCUUAAGGCAAUAGGUUUAUGGGUCAUUGUACUUAUAUAUCCAAUAUAGCCUCCAUUCCUGGUCAAUGUGGGACGCCUCCAUUCCUAGUCAAUGUAAGACUAACCACUCAUAAUUAAAUUCCAACAUACUAACCACUCAUAAUUGAAUUCCAACAUAUAUUGAUCUCUAAAGUUAAAAAAUUUCACCCAAGAGCCAUGUUUUUUUUUUUUUUUUUUUUUUUUUUUUUUUUUUUUUUUUUUUUUUUUUUUUUUUUUUUUUUUUUUUUUUUUUUUUUUUUUUUUUUUUUUUUUUUUUUCUAUUGGUGAAGUUAGUUAACAAAAGCGGUACUAAUGUUUACUAUUAAAUUAGCACUUAUAGGAAAGAUAACACAUAAGUUGUAUGAUAAAAUGCUUCAACCAUUCCACUACCUAGUUUAGUCUUAAGACGGAUUCGAUGUUAUUUUUUGUACCAUUAUGCAUUAUAAUUUGAUAUUAGGUACUAUGUUCAGUUUGAUUGUUAAGUGAGUAUGAAGUUCUAUGCAUUUCCAUUUUUUUUAACUCUUGUAUUUUUUAAUAUUAUUCAAUUAAUAUUUAAUAUUAUUCAAUUAUUGAUUUUCACACUUGUUGACCAGCUACUGGGCUAUUACAGUAUGAUACAAGAAAAAAAAUGUUAAUUUGCUGCACUAAGAUUCAAAUUUUGCUCAAGAUGAUAGGAAAUUUAAUUUUGAAAUCUUACAGUUUCCUCUGUUUUUUUUUUCAAAACAACAUAGCUUGAUUGUGGAAUAGAAAAAGCAGUUGGUUGCUUGGUAAAUGAUAGUGAACUUAGUAAUAUUUUUUUUAUCAAGAUUAGUUAUGUCAUAAUACUUCGAUUUUAUGAAAAAAGGGAAGGUUAAUUGAAUGAAUAGUGAUAAUGUAAAUGUAGACUGUUGUUGAUAGUGUGAGAAUGAUUGUUGUUUGAUUUGAAUCCUUAAUUGUGUGUCUUAAUUUCGGUCAUAUAACCAAAUCAUAUUGUUUGUGUUUUUUAUCUAAAUUCAGUUAGGAAUAUGAUAUUGAGUUUUUAAAUGUUAAGAUAACAUGUUAUUUGAGUUUUUAUAUUUUUAAGUUGAGGAUAGUCUAAUCUUUUUAUGUUUUACGAUAUUUUUUUUUUAUAAUUUUUAAAUUCAUAAAAUUUAAUAUUCUAUUUUAAUCAUCUUUUAUUUUUUGUUUUAUGCGUGAUUACCUAUAUUAUAAACAAAUAUUUUAUAAGAUUUUAAAUAUAAGUAAAAGUGGCCACUAUAAAAUGCAUCAACCUUGUGUUUGGUUCCAAUUACUAUAUUAUACAUUCGAUGAAUUCAAUCAUACUUUUAAUUUGAAAAUAAUUUACCAUUUAUUGAAAGUAAAUGCUCUAUUAAGAUUUUUUUGGUCUGUUUUUCAAUAGGGUUAUAUGUGUCUCCAAGACCAUUCAAGAAAACAUGACAUAUAUGACUCUGUGCCUUUUGACCGUCUUGAUUAGAUCAUAGUCACAUUUGAUUCUACUUGAUUUAAUGCAUUUCUUUUAGCAAAAUUGAAACGUCUCUUUUAGCUUAUUUUAUCGUAUGCAUUGAAUUUUUUUAAACAAGUCUAAAUUCCUGAUAUGAUAUCUUUUGAGAAUCUUUCUUUGAGGUCAUCCAAAGGACUUUACAAUUCUUUCAUAGUAUUAGAGAGUAUUUUUAUAUUUUAAGUGAUAGGAUAAAAUAAUGUGUAUAGUAUAAAAUAUUCAUAUUAAUUAAAGUGGUUGAAAUUAGUAGUAGUAGAUAGACUAUUUAAUUAAAGACUUAAAUUUAUGGUUGGCUCAUAAUAUUGUGAUUUUUAAAUUUUAGUCACUGUUUAUUUUAUUUUAUUUCGGUUGAUUUUGGUUCCUUUACAUUUUGAUGACACAUAACUCAAUGCCAACAUUAAUUUCUAUUAAAAUGCAAAACAAGGAGAUUUAUGAUUUGAAGUAAUAAGAAAUUUGCUUAUUUAAUUGUCACCCUAAAUAAUAUUAGUUAUUAAUAUUAGUCUUUGAACAAAAAAUUAAAACCUAAUUAGGGAUUUGUUCCCUCUCAUAUGUCAUUUAUUUAUUUGUAUUUGUAUUUAUUUUAUUUUUUAGGGUUAAAGUCAUGUGGACAAUAUUGGUAAGAUGUCAAUGUCACAUCAAUAAAUUGAGUUAUCUCAGUGUAAUUUUAGAAAAAAUUAAGAGGAAGACUCUCAAAUUAAAAAGAAAAAAAAAAGGACUAAAAUCACUAAAAAAAAAAAAAGAAGAGAUUUUUUUUACAAGAAAAAAGAUAAGAUUAAAAAUUGCAAGAUCUCAAUAUUUUGACCGAUAUAAAAGUGAAUUUAAACCUCAAUUUAAUGAGAGUAUGAGAGUGAUGAAAAGUUGAUAAAUGUUAUUUUAAUAUUAUAAAUUAAAGAAUAAUUUUAAACAAAUAAAUAUUAUAAAUAUGACUUAUAAUGAGGUGGAAGUAGUCAUUAAUGAAACCACAAUGGGAAAAGUCAUGACCAUGAUUUAGAAUAGGAAUCUCUUCAUUCACGAACAACUUAUUACUUGAGUUGAAUGGCUUUUUUUUUUUAAAUAGUUCAUAUUAAUAGUUAAUUAUUAAUUUUGCUAGAGGUGGAAUAGAAUUCAUUAUCUCAUUGCCACUUCAAUUUCUCUAAACUAUAACAAGAACAAUUCUUAGAUUUUUUGCGUGAUCUAGAUAGUAUGGAUUGAGAGAAUUUGAGAUUAAUUUGCGACAUUUCCCUAUUGAAAGUAGUUUGUGUUGCUUGAACAUGUUUUAUCCAUGAUUGAACUAUUAAGGAACAAUGAAGCUAUAGUUUGAGUAAUCAAAGGAAGGAGAUGAAAUAAUGCAGGAAAUGGAGUAGAGUUGUACCACGAGCAAGAAAAUUCCACUUUAAUACCAAGUAGUAAAAAAUAUAUAGUAAACUCUUAUUGACAUAAAGAGGAAAAAAUCACAAUAAAAAUUUUCUCUAAUUUUUUUUUAACUUUUAACAAAUACAAUCAAGACUUGUAUUUUGAGGAAGUGAAACAAAUCUAAUUGUUUAGUAAGAGAAUGCUGUUACCACCGCGGUGACACUUCUAAUCCAAUUGAACUUGUAAUUGUUUAGGAUUUUUCAUUCACUUGUUUUGAGGCACGAAUAUAUUUGAUUUUGCUUUACUAAUCUAUAAAACAAAAUUUAAAUAAACCAUUAGAAUAAUUUUAAAUAACUUUUUCAAUUGAAAAGACAAUUUAAUAAUAAAAAACACACCUCCAAUUGAACAAUUUUGUAAUUGUUCAGAAUUUCUCAUCCACUUGUUUUGAGCCGCAAGUAUAUUUGAUUUUGUUUCACUAAUCUACCAAACAAAAUUUAAAUAAACCAUUAGAAUAAUUUCAAAUAAUUUUUUUUAUUGAAAAGGCAAUUUAAUAAUAAAAACACACCUAAAUCAGAAAAACAGUCUCUUGCCACCAUGCUCCUGGUACAACAAUUUCAUGUCAAUUAUCAUCAAUUAUACACAAUGAACACAACUGUUAAACCAACAACGAUUUCAUGUCAAUUAUCACCAAUUAUACAUACAUACAUAUAUUACCCAAUAUUUUGGAAAUAUCUCACAAUCCCCCACCAUUUUCAAAAUAUACUUAGUACCAUAAUUUUAAAAAUAUCAUGGUUUCAGAUAAUGGUAUCUUACGAUUUGAACCACUACUUAGUAAGCUAUGGGUUCCACUUAUCCUGAAUAGAUUGGUAGACAAGUUUUGAACCAGUUAUUCAUUAGAACAAGUGUGCACAACUUACACAUAAAAUCUCAAUACUAUCGAAACAAUUAUAAAGAUGACACAUUUGUUAAGGUCUUGUGUCAUGUACCCUUUUCAUGAGAAUUUAAGAGUCAAACCCUUUAACUCUCUGAAGCGGCCUCACUUCAUCCUCACAUAGAUAGACUAUAUCAAAAAUACACCCAUAUAUGUAUUUCAACAAAUUUAUGCUAUAUGUCUAUUAAGAGUAAAACUCAACCUUCCAACUUUAUACUUAUGGUCCAAGUACUUUCAGCCUUUGGGAUGUAUCUAUAUUUAAGUACUUGCAAUCAUUCUAAUAGUGUACUUUUAUCAUUGAACUCAAGACUUGAUGUUACUCAAGUGUGAGUCGAUUUUCCACCAUUGAUGAUUAAUUAGAUAUGGGCUUGAGUCUCAUCCUCAAUGAUGUUUUCAACACCAUGUCCCUUGUCAGACCUUUUGUCAAACGAUCUGCAAGAUUAUUUUCAGUUCUUACAAACACAAUGGAUAUUACUCCAUUUAUAAUUAAAUCAUUUACAUAGCUAUGUCUUAGACCAAUAUAUCUAGAUUUUCCAUUAUAUACUUGGCUAUAUGCUUUGGACAGUGUGAAUUGACUAUCGCAAUGUAUGUAUACUAGUGUCAUUGGCUUUGGCCAAAUUGGUAUCUCAUAUAAUAAAUUUCUUAAUCAUUCUGCCUCUUUACGACCUGCAGCUAGGGCAAUGAACUCUGCAGCCAUGGUGGAGUCAUCAAUGCAAGUUUGUUUCUUUGAUCCCCAAUAAACUGCACCUCCACCAAGGUUGAAGAUGCAUCCACUUGUGGAAGCAUGAUCCUCAACAUAAGUUACCCAACUGGCAUCUGUAUAUCCUUCCAAAACUGAAGGAUAUCCACUAUAGAUUAAACUAUAGUUAAUUGUUCCUUUUAAAUAUUUUAAUACUCUAUUAACAACCUGCCAAUGUUCUUUACUUGGAUUGCUAGUAUACCGACUUAAUCUGCCUACAACAUAUGCUAUGUCAGGUCUGGUACAGGUCAUGGCAUACAUCAAGCAUCCGAUUACCUUUGAAUAAUCUAGUUGUGCCACAAGGCAUCCUUUGUGGUUGUAAACUAACAUUUUGAUCAAAUGGAGUAUAAACAGGUUUGCAAUUAAAUUGAUCAAUUUUUUUUAGCACUUUCUCAAUAUAAUGAGAUUGAGAUAAACCAAUAUUUACUCCAUCUCUAAUGAUUUUAAUUCCUAAAAUUACAUCUGCUUCACCUAAAUCUUUCAUAUCAAAAUUUUUUGAUAAGAAAGUUUUAGUUUUUUCUACCUCAUCUAAAUUGGUGCCAAAGAUUAACAUAUCAUCCACAUAUAAAAAAAAUCAUAACACCAUUUCCAUCAUGAAAUUUACUAUAAAUACACUUGUCAGAUUCAUUUAUUUUGUUUCCAUUAGAAAGCAAAACUUUAUCAAACUUUUGGUGCCAUUGUUUGGGUGCUUGUUUUAACCGAUAUAAGGAUUUAGUCAAUUUAUACACUUUAUGUUCUUGCCCUUUGAUAACGAAUCCUUCAGGUUGUUUCAUAUACACCUCUUCAUCUAACUCUCCGUUUAGGAAAGCAGUUUUAACAUUCAUUUGAUGGAUUACAAACUUAUUGAUAGAAGCUAGUGCCAAAAGCACUCUUAUGGAUGCAAUUCUUGCAACAAGUGCAUAAGUAUCAAAGUAGUCGAUACCUUCUUUUUGUGUAAAUCCUAUGGCAACAAGUCUAGUUUUGAAUUUAUCAAUGGUACCAUCAACUUUCAUUUUCUUCUUAAAAAUCCAUUUACAAACCUAUUGGUUUGGAUCUAGGAUGGAGGUCUACUAAUUUCCAAGUUUUAUUCCCCAUAAUCAAGUCCAUUUCCUCUUGGAUGGCUUCUUUCCAAAAGGAAGAGUCUUGAGACUUUAUUGCCUCUUCAUAUGUGUCUGUGUCACUCUCUAAAUUGUAGCAAAUUGGUCCAUAACUGUUAAUGAAAUUAUUUGUACCUUCUACAAGAAACAUAAAGAAGUCUAGGCCAUAAUCUUUCUCUUUUCUGGCUCUUUUACUUCUUCUGGGUUCUGAACAUGACAAAGUAUCAUUAUUAGAUGCAUUAUUUUUCUAGACUUUGUACACUAGAACAUACAGUUUCCUUGGGAUGUGGAAUUGAGUUAAAUCUAUUUUCUUAAAAAAUUGCAUCUCUUGACUCAAUCACUGUGUUAAUAGGAUAUGAGUCAUUAGAUUCAACAACCUUGAAUCUAUAGGCCUUGCUAUUUUCAGCAUAGCCCAGAAAUACACUUUCAAUUCAUCUUUCUCCCAAUUUCUUUCUUUUUGGUUCAGGAACCUUAACAAUUGCUUUACAACCCCAAACUUUUAUAUAGUUAAGAUUUGGUUUUCAUUUCUUCUAGAGUUCAUAUGGGGUUAUCUUGCUCCUUUUAUUGGAAACUCUAUUUAGCAAAUAAGAUUGAAUUUUCUUUUCUUCCAGAGUUCACCCCAAUAACCUUUAGAUAAACCAGAAUAGGAUAACAUGUCAUUCACCAUUUCUUCUAAUACCCUAUUUUUCCUUUCUGCAAUUUCAUUUUGUUGUGGGGAAUAUGGUGCAGCUGUUUGAUGCACAAUACUAGUGGACUCAAAAUACCCAGGAUGAUAGAACUCUUCUCCCCUAUCACUUCUAAAACACUUAAUAAAAGUUUCAUGUUGAAGUUCUACUUGUGCUUUAAAUAUUUUAAAUUUGCCUAAAACUUCAUUCUUAGAGUGCAUUAAAUAAACAUAACAAAAUCUAGAGUAAUCAUCAAUAAAAGUGACAAAAUACUUUUUACCACCAAUUGUAGGCCAACCAUGUAAAUCGCAUAUAUCAGAGUGAAUUAAAUCUAAUACCUUAUAAUUUCUUUCAACAGUUUUAAAAGGGUGUCUUGUGAUUUUAGUUAGCAUGCAAGUAGUACAUGAAUUUGAAUUUUUAUCAAAAUUCAGAAUUAAAUUUGAUUUCAUCAUAUCAUUCAAUUUUCUAAAGUUAAUAUGUCCUAGUCGCAUAUGCCAUAAAUCACAAGACUCAACAAUAUAAGCAUAAAUCAUAUUAUUAUUAUAGUUACUAACAACAUUACAUUUGAACAUAUUCUCACAAAUGUAACCCUUCCCUACAAACAUACCACCUUUAGAGAGAAUAAACUUAUCUCCCUCAAAUAUACAUUUGAAACCAAACUUGUUAGGUAAAUGUACAGAAGUCAAGUUCUUCCUAACAUUAGCACUACAAGAAAAAAAAAAACGUUUUGCGGCGGUUAAAAAGGGGAUUUGCAGCGGUUGAAACCGCUGCCGUUUGAUGUUUGCGACGGUUCUGUAACUGUCGCAGAUUCGUGCGUCGCGAGACCAGUUUGCGACGGUUCACAAAACCGUCGUUCGAACCGUCGGCAAAAUUUGUGACGGUUCCUAACCGCCUCUAAAUACAGUUUGCGACAGUUAGAACCGUCGCUAAAAGACACUCAAAUUUAUUUAUUUCUGAACAAUAACGACAAUUAUCAACCGUCGCUAUAUUUAUUUUGAGGCAGUUUAAACCGUCGCAAACCUAAUAAUUUAAAAUUAAAAAAAUAUGAUACAAUUUUUUUUCUAUUUUUAAUCAAUUAAAAUAAGAAAUAUUUAUAAAUACCAUCCACAUAAUUUAAAUACAUAAUUAAUAACUAUUCCAAAAUAUAUAAUUUUUUCAAAAGAAAUAACACCAAUUCAUACAUUGAAGUUAACUAAAACAAUAACUAAAUUAGUUUAAAUAUUCAAAACAUUAGUGGAGUAGCUAAAAAUACAAAACAACUCCAUCAAACUUAGAAGUUCAUCCAAAUAUCUAAUUAGUCCCUAAUGAUGUUCCACGAUCAUCAGGUUGGUGGCUGGACUAAGAUGAACGUCUACCAUCUAUUGGCAAUUCUAUGUCCAUUGGCUGAAGAAAAAAAAAGUAUAUAUUAACCUCAACGAAUAUUGAUAAAUAUUGUCAAAACUAAUUAACUAAAUUUCUCUUAUAGCUAUAAGAAAUCUUUACACAAUUGAUAUUUUUAAUCAAAGAGAAACAGUUCUCACAAGAUUUUUAAAUAGGUUUGCUAUGAAAAUAAUUUUACCUGUUUGUCUCUAGAAUUUUGCAUUUGCAUCAAGAAAGCAAUUUGCUCCUUCAACAUAUCAACUUCAGAAUCCCUUUUCUUAAGCCUAUCAAUUUCAGCUUGCAUUUUCUCCAUCUUUUCAUUAGCUUCAGAGGAAGACAUUGAUCUUACAGAGUGAGAAGUAGAUGUAGUAAUUUGUGACGGUGUUAUUUCAAGUCCCAUACAACGAACAUAUCCAAGAUGUUCUUUUCCAAACACAUUAACAAAUGCUUCAUUUGGAUAAAGAGUCUUCCCAAUUUCAGCUUGCAAUUGUUCCUGCGCAAACAGAUAAAGCAAACUAAAUUCCUCUUUGUAACAGAAAUGUCUAACUUUGCAACUCACUAUUAAAAUUAUGCAAUUAUACAAUUAUUUUGAGACAAAGAAGUAGCAUUUUAUUUAGUCUCACUAAUUAACAUUAAAGGAACAAAACAUAACAACGUCAUACUCUUAGAAAAUAUUACCCGAUAAACAUUCAAAAUAUAGAACUAGACCAGGUAUAUAGUACUAGACAAACAAUAACAAAUUUUAACGUUAAAAAAAUAAAGAACUAAUUAACAUUAAAAAAAAUAAUUUACGAAGUUUAAAUUUUGAUAAAAUAUAAAGGAAGAAAACUGUAUUUCAACCUAUGUGUUUUUUGUACAUAAGAAAUUAAGAAAUCAAAAUAUAGUUUGACCAAGAAAAAAAUAUUAUCAUGUGACUAAAACAAAAAGAAUAUCAUGUAACAACUCAUAACACUUAAUGAUGAUCAGCUAGUAACACUUAAUGAUGAUCAGCUAAAAUUUAAUUAGUUCAAUUCCUUAUCUUCAUACAUUCUUUGCAUUGCUCUUAAUAAAUUAUAUCUCUUCUUCUCGCAUCAUGCUGUACUGCAACUUCAUCAAAAAAUUACCCACAAGACUUCUACAUGUAGUUAGUUAUGGCAAAAUAAAUUAGUUAUUACUUCAAUUCAAAUUUGAGGAAAAAUUCUUGCAAAACAAGUAAUAGAACUGAGAUAAAAAUGAAAACAAACGAAAUAAAACAAAAUACUUUACCAAAAGUAACCAAUUCAAAGUAAUCAUAAUUCUAAGAUUUUAUUAUAAUUCAUUUCAAAACCAAAUGUAAUUUCUAGUCCAAAUUUUAAAGACAGGAAAAAUGAUUACUCCAACCAAUAUAAUGUGCAAAAAGAAGUGAAAAAGAAUUGUGUAAUGUUAUUCAAAGAUAAAAUUUGCCACAAAUAAAACACUCACAUUUUAUUAAAAACAGAAACGUGAACCCCACUAUAUUUGGUACGAGUAAUAGAACUGAGAUAAAAAUGAAAACAAACGAAAUAAAACAAAAUACUUUACCAAAAGUAACCAAUUCAAAGUAAUCAUAAUUCUAAGAUUUUAUUAUAAUUCAUUUCAAAACCAAAUGUAAUUUCUAGUCCAAAGUUUAAAGACAGAAAAAAUGAUUACUCCAACCAAUAUAAUGUGCAAAAAAAAGUGAAAAAGAAUUGUGUAAUGUUAUUCAAAGAUAAAAUUUGCCACAAAUAAAACACUCACAUUUUAUUAAAAACAGAAACGUGAACCCCACUAUAUUUGGUACGGUAUUUGUUUUUGUGUUCUAUUUUAUGUCAAAUUUUGUGUUCUAAUAAUAUUACUCAUUUGCUAAUUAGUUUUUGUAUCUUUUAGCAUGUAUUGAAUGGACACGAGCAGUUUAAAGUAAUAUUCUUGUUAACUAAACCUGUAAACACCCUAUUACAUAACCAUUUAGCUAAAUCAGAUGAAAAGAUGAAGAGAAAAACCAUAACCAGUUUUAUUUCACAUUUCUAGUUUCUCCGAUUAUAUCUCCAGGACACAGGUCCAACAUAAAUAUCAUUGACAUUGCCACUACUUUACAAGUUUUACAUUACUGGGGACCUUCAUUCAAACACAUACUGUUGUCUUCAAAGUUUCAAAGGCAACAAACAAUCUGGAAAUUAUUUUUAAAAGCAAACAAACCAAUCUCAAACAAACCAAUCAUUAACAUAUAUCAAACAAUCAAACCACGAGAACGUUAUAUCAAACAGACAGCGCAUACCUGGCCAAGCUUGAUUUCUCCUCUAUUUGGAUUGUAAAGCACAUGAAUGUUGCAAACCACAACUUUACGAGAAUCUGUCAAGCUGCAGAAUGCUGCAUUUAUGUUAUAUUGAGUAAACAAAGAUAUCUCUUCAAAAAAAUAUGAAUGAUAAUUUGAAAAAUUAAAAGAAAGCCCAUAAGGCUAUCAACACCUCAGUCAUUAAAAGAAAAGUUGCAAGCAUAACACAAGCAAGGCUCAAUUAAAAUUAUCCCCUGACCUUGUGCACCAAUCUAAAUCUUUAUGUCAGCACUCAGCAGCAUAAAAUAUACCCUUGUGAGUUGUGAACCUAAACAGUGUCCUCAUUCUCAUAAGAUUUAAGGAAACAACAAGAAGCUUUUCAUCCUCUAAUGAUGGAUGGAUACUCUUAAUGCUUACUGUAACUAGCUGGUACAAGAACUUACUGGGUUUGUACCCCAAUACUUUUUCUUUUCCCCUCAAAUUAUAUUAUCAGUUGUCUGAACACAUUUGAGUUAAACAUCACAAUAAGCCAACAUCACUCAACUACAAACCAAUCCAUAUAAAGACACUAGGUUUGGCUACUUCGUUGUUUGUUUUGCUUCUAAAUGAAACAAUGGCUAUUUCAUCCCUUUGUGCCCCUUUAUAGAAAUUUUUACUUUAUAUACAGCAAAGAAUUUUGUUGAAAACUUCAAGUUAGACCAUUAUGGACAGAGUACUCAUUUAGUUUUUUUAUUUAAUAAAAUUAUGUAAUAUAUCGUGUUGUACCAGUGCCCCAAUUUACAGAAAACAAUCUGUGAUGCUUUUCAUUCAUUAUGAUUAAUUUCAAAAUUAAGAUAACAUUUGCCGCACAAAACAAUUGGAACUAAACUGUUAAAUGGAACUAAAUGAUUACCUUAGCAAGAGUUGAUUUUGUUUCCAAGAUGAUAAAUCACCUUAUUUUACAGAGUAGAUUUCGUUUCUCCUCGAUUUUGUUUCCUUCAGAAGUUUUAGGGUUAACAGAUUUGGGGGUUUUCAGAAAUUUUAGGGUUGUGAAAGGAUGUGUGCGGGGCUAAGAAAGGAAUACACGAAAGAGAGAGCGAGGAAUGAACUUACAAAAUCUGGAAAAAUAAAAACACGUUUAUACCCUAAACGAUGAUGACAGUUGAUUAAAACCGCCCCAGGAACUGUCGCAAACUGGUGGCGAGAUUGAAAAACGCAACUCAUGUGCUUUAUAUGUUGUAGUAUGGUGGCGGCGGUUGACGAAAACCGCCUCAAAAACCGUCGCAAUGUGAAGGUGAGGGCGGUUAUUUCAGAACCUUCGCAUGCCAAAUUUCGCAAACUUAAAAAAUUCUUGUAGUGUAGGAACAUAAAAUACAUCCUUAAGAGUAAGUAUUUUUCCAGAAGUGAAUUCAAUCUCCACUGUUCCUUUUCCUUUGACUUGGACAGUUGAGGCAUUUCUCGUGUACAAAAUACUUCCAUCUUCUUCAUCAAUGGUCUUAAAUAGUUCUUUAUUUUUGCACACAUGGCUGGUAGCACCAGAGUCUAUCCAUCAAGAUUCAACAUCUUCAAUCAUGUUGAGUUUAGAAAUGACAGCAACAAGAUUAUCUUUUGUUGCACUUGAAUUCUUCUCUUUGUUCUCCCUUUUCAAGAACCUGCACUCAUUUUUAAAAUGUCAUAGUUUUCCACAAUGAUAACAACUUCCUUUUCUUUUCUUUCUUUGUUCAUCAUUACCGUUGUGUUUUUCAUGAGAUUUAUCAAAAUCUUGAUUUCUUUUCUUAAAAGAUUUGCUUGAAUUUCCUUCCUCCAUACAUGGAUCUUUUCAUGAGAAAAUUAGUUUUUAGUACCCUCUUGUUUACGGUACUCUUCUUCUAAACGAAGAUGAUUACCCAAUAUCUCAAGAGAUAUGUCAUAUUUCUUAUGUUUCAUAGAUUUUUUGAAAUCUUUCCACGAAGGUGGAAGUUUGUCUAUUAUGCAAGAUACAAUAAUAGUUUCAUUCAUGUGCAUUUGAUGUUGUUUGUAGUUAUUAAGAAUACGUCCAGUCUCAUGCAUUUGUUCCAUUACUGAUUUAUUAUCAACCAUUUUAUAAUUAUUAAAUUGAGAAACAAGAAACUUCUUACUUGUAGCGUAUUCUUGCAUGUAUCUUGACUCUAAUUUCUCAUAUAGUUCCUUUGCAAAGAUGCUACUUUGAUAUAUAUCAAACAAAGAGUCAGACAUUCCGUUGAGAAUAUGGCCCAUGCAUAUAUAGUCAUCAUUGUCCCACUUCUGUCUUUCUCUUGUUUCUGCUUAUGUUUCCACUUCCUUCUCCAGCGGUCUUGUGGUGUUUAGGACAUACACCACCUUCAAAGUUGUAAGAAGGAAUUUCAUCUUUUUCUGCCAACGGAUAAAAUUUCCUCCAUCGAAUUUCUCCAACUUCACAAAAUUAGAAGUCAUUUCUUUGAGUGAUGCAGCCAUUGAUUGAAAAAUAAGAUCGAACUUAAAGAUUGUUGGAUCUGUGUUGGUCACAACUGCUGCAAGACUUUAAUAGUGAAGUUGUUGAUGAAGAUUAUAUACAUCAAAUUCCAAAGUGUGUUGUUUCACUAGCCUUUAGGUUCGAUUCGCCCCCACCAUUCAGAUGCAAAUGAGAUAACCAACAAAUCCCCUUUAGGGUACUUUGGAAAACCUUGAUAUGAUUUUCACUUUCACACCAAGAGUAUCUUUCAAUAGUAUGUUACAAAAGAAUGAUUCUUAUUCUUUACUUAUGCAUUAGAAGAGAAUAAUAUGACUUAGAAUAUAAGAAUGAGUGGGAAAAGUGGAUGACAAUCUCUAUAAUUUCGUGUAUGCAUUAUGUCCAAAGUGACACUAUUUAUUGAAAAAUAAUGUCACUUGAGAAAGAGUUAAAAUUCUUGGUUCUGCCACUGUUUCGCGAACGCAUAUAUACAUAUAACGUUCACUUAUUGACUAAAGCAUUGCAUUGGUCUGGUGGUUGAUCAAUACACCAAUCUCAUUUUUAAUGAACGGGACCUUAUGUUUACACACAACCACUCAACCUGUGCCUUUUCAUAUGAUCAACUAUUGAUAAAGCAAGGUCAUGAUUGGUGUAAGUCUUGUUUCAAGGCUUUGAAUCACAUUUCAUCUUGUAUUGCUGAAGUUAUUACUAACAAAAUGAUAUAACUAAUUGCCAGAAGAAAAAAAAAAACAUAUCACCAUAAAGAAUAUAUGAUUGCACUUGUUUGAUAAUAAACAGAAGAAGGAAGCUUCGUCGGAGGAGUGUGAUGAGGUUGUUGAAGACUUAAGUACGGUAAAAGCAAAAGCUAAGGGUAAACAAGUACAAGAACCCCAUAAGAGUGCCAAAUCUAUUAUGAAGAGAUUAGGGGCUAAGAUAUUAGGACUUUUAGAGCUUUUUUUGUCAAUGAGCAGUAUGUGUAUGGUGAAACUUCUCUUGAUUUUCUAUUGCAUAGGGAUGACAGGGCAAAGAACACUACGCGAAAAACUGCAUUUUACAGUGUUUUUUUUAAUCCAUUUACAGCGCUUUUUCAAACAAAAAAAACGUUGUGGAAUCGAGCGCUGUAAAUGAUACAACAGCGCUUAAAACAUGUAAAUAUAACGCGCGCUUGUUAUGCACAUUUUACAGCGCUUUUUCAACAAAGCGCUGUAACAUGCACCCCAUUAUAUGAGUUAUGAGUCUGCAUUUUACAACGCUUUUUAACAAAACCACUGUAAAAUGCACACCCAUUAUAUGAAAUUAUGGGUCUGCAUUUUAACGCUUUUGUUGUACAUUUUACAGCGCUUUCUCAAGAAAGCGCUGUAAAAUGUACAACAAAAGCGUUAAAGUGCAGACCCAUAAUUUCAUAUUAUGGGUCUGCAUUUUACAGCGCUUUCUCACGAAAGCGCUGUAAAAUGUACACCAUUAUAGCGCUUUACAACAAUAUUUUACAGCGCUUUUUAAAAAAAGCACUGUAAAAUGUGUUUUUUUUUUAAACGCUGUAAAUUAAUUAUUUGAAAUGACAAGCGCUUUUUAGCUUUUUAUGGCAUUUUUUUUAGAAAGCGCUGUCUUUUAUCUUUGCAUUCAAAAUUAUUUUGAUCCAAAAUCAGUUCACAAUCAGUGCACACAACAACAAAACAUAUUCAAAUACCAUAAGCAGUUCACACAAUCAGUAAAACAGAAAUCAGAACUCUGUAACUUAAUUAACAUAUAUGUAACUUUGUAACUCUGUAAUUUACAACCUAAUUAACUACAUUCAAAUACAUAUAUAUAACCUAAUUUACAACCUAAUUAACUACAUUCAGAUAUAUAUAUAUAUAUAACCUAAUUUACAACCUAAACUACAUUCAGAUCCAUAUGCAUGUUCAUAUAUUGUGUCCUAUGAUCAUUUACAUAUAAUAACUAACAGAAUAUACAUAAUAUGCACUAGCUACCAUAUAAUAUUCAGAUCCCUUGCCCAACAGCAAGCUAUUUCCCAGAAAAUCAAAUAAUUUGCAUGUCAAGCACAUACUGACACCAGUCUUCCUUUAAUUCCAUCGGAUCUUCCUCAGAAUACGAUGGACUGGAAUUGUCAAAGUACUGCAAUAUAAAAAUUGAACAUAUUAUAUUAAGUUAGUAUCAAAUAUAUAGAUAAUUUAUAUAUGAAAAUCAUAUAAUGAAAAAUACUGUACCGUUUAUGGGAUAAUAGUUUUAUUCUUCUCAACAAUCUCCUUCAUGAAUCUCAAUACGUAGUACCCACAGUUGCAAAUAGCACCCAAUGUGCCCUACAACAACAAAAAAUUGGUUAAGCAAUUUUGUUUAUAGACAACUAAUAAAUUAAAUUCUCAUCAAUUAAAAAAGAUAAAAUUACGUACCCUGAAUUAUAUGGUGCCAAGAACAAUUUAUCACUUUCUUUAUUUCUUAAAAACAUAUCUACAAUGUAGUGUUUUACAUUGUCUGGAUCGAGUUUGAACAUCGACAUCUUAUGCGGAGACAAGAAUGAGUAUUUAUUUGACAGUUUCCUCGUGCACACGACCUUCUCGUACAAAAACCUUCAAUGAAAAUUUUAAACUAGAUUAAUUACCAAUACAUUUAAUUAAUUACAAAUAAAUGCAAUUAAAAGUAUUUUUUACCUUAUGUACAAGCUGAUUACAGUAACACUCAGCUCCUUAUGUUCGAGAAGUUCGUACAUGUGCUCCUUUUCGAGGUAUUCAAUAUACUCAUCUCCAAAGAUGUCUUUAUUCAUUUGUACGAUGGGCGAAUCGUUGCUGCUGCCCAUGUUCCUUUUUAUUUGGAUGUCAAGACACGCCCCGUAUUUACCAAGGCGUGGCUGACUUUUAUUAGGAGCAGCAGCAGCAGCGACCGAUUUUCCCCGAUCCAGAUUUUUUGUUGCUGCAAGUUUUGCAGCUUUAUUACCCUCCAGCCUUUGUAGUUUGGCAGCCCUAUUAACCUCCAAUUUUUGAGGUCUGCUGCCUUUUUUUGGCUGUAGGGGUGGUUUAUUUAUUUGGACCUACAAAAAUGAGGUAAAAUGUUAGUUUAUUGAAUCUGAAAAAAUAAAAAACCUUAGGCAAUAAAUGUGACAAACCUUUUCGGGAGAUGUAACUGAUUUGUCCUUGGGAAUCUUUUUUUCGAGGGCAACAAGGUGUGUGGGCCAUGCCACGUAACUGCCAAUAGCGUCGCUUAAGAACUUCAUAUCUCCAUCGUUGUCCGGUAUGGGCAACGGUGCAGUUGGUUCGAAAGCAACCGUAGGCGAUACUUUGACAUGGCCCGCGGGGAUCGGAAUAUUGUGCAAUACUUCUCCCGAAGUAUUGUGCAAUAUUCCUUUUCCCACCUUCCGUUGAGUCGGCGAGGACAAGUAUAGGACACAUGUAGUGACACCCUACAUCAAUAGUUAAAACAUAAGUACAGUUAAUAUAUAAGUUUGUUUAAUACAUAAGUAAUUACAUAAGCAAGUAAGUAGUAAGUAAUUAAUUACCUCGGGAAUACUCUUCAAACCGACGUUGCAACUCCCGGUUUCACUCUCCAUUUGUAUUUCAGGUUGGAGCUGAACCGGAAGUUGCUUGUCUUUAUUCGUAUUCACCAAGAGUGCCACUUGCUCCGAUAAGAUUCUGAGCUUCUCUAAUACUUCCUCGUUGGAAGGUUUUUGGCGCUUCUCUUGAGGAAAAAAGCUUUUGGGAGUUACGCCAAAUCCUUUCCCCCUCACUCGACCGGAAUACUCAGGGACAUUAAACACUUUCCCAAGAAUGUCCCUGCACGUAUCCUUGUUGCCCUCUUGAGUUUCAGAACUUUGUUCAAUAGUUUCCUAAAAUACAUGUAACAUUAAAAAGAUAAGUUCAAUAGCAUUUUUAAAAUACAAUAUUAAAAAAUAUUAAAGUGAUAAUAUACUUACACAAAGUUCUACAACUUUCUUGACAUUUUCAUUAUCAACCACUCCUUCUUUAUUAACACGCGCUUCCUUCCACAAUAUAUGACGACCCAAGGGUUGAUCGGCUUGGGUGUCUUUUCUCUAUUCGUUAAAAUCAUAAACAAAAUAAUACAAAUUAGUUACACACUAUAGUUUAUAAUACAAAUUACUUCAUUAUAUAAAAGUGAUGUUUAAUUACUUACAAUUUGUUGUUCAAGGCGUGCAUAUCCCAUAUGUGAUUUCUUGUAUGGGUGUUUUGGAUUGCUUGCCCGUUCGCGAUUUGCCUUACUAAUAUUCUAUAUAAAAAAAAAUAGCAAUUGUGUAAAAAUUUAAAAUACGCUACGAAUAUGAAUAAUAAAACACAAAUGCUAAUAAAUUAAUCACUUACGACAAACGCCGGGUCAGAACGUUUGGAAACAAAUGCACUCCAUUCAUCCUUUGAUAUAUAAUGUUGAUAUAUCUUUGGAGGUUCAGCAUUUGUGUUUCCUUCUCUAUCUUUUAGAUAGAAAUUUGAGAGAUGGGAUCUAAAUCCACGAUGGAUUUUCCCAGCAACUCUCAAAACAUAUGACUUUCGUUCCUCAUCAAGAACAAAAGUCGUCUGCAAUGAAAACAAUUAUAAGUAAAGUAUUUUAUAGAAAAAAAAUUAUAAAUGACAAAAGAGUGGAUCAAAAAAUUUACUUGAAUGUCAUUCCAUAUAAUAUCUUUGGCAUCCUUCAACGCCUUAUCUCUCCAAUUGUCGACUAUAAUUGGGACAUUUUGACAAACAACAACCUCAAUAUAGCUUACAAACAUAGAGCUGUUGGGGUCAACUGGCUGACCACUCUCAUUCCAGCCAACCUAAUAAACUCAUAUAGUAAGUACAUGCCCUAAACCCUAAAAAAAGAUAAAAAACACACAUCAAACAGAGUAUAGUAUACCUCAAAUUUAAUGCCAUUACUCCUUGCUUUAAUCACCUUUUGCAUGAUAGUUGCACCACGUUUGACUUCUUUUUCGUAAGUCUUAGAGGUGCCAACUUCUUCAUUUUGAACUUCUAUAUCUUUGUUUGUAUCCAUUUAACUACAACAAGUUCAACAUGCAGUUUAGUAUAACAUCAACAAGCUCAACAUGGAUCAUGCAUUAUUAUAAACAAGCUCAACAUGGAUCAUGCAUUAUUAUAAACAAGCUCAACAUGGAUCAUGCAUUAUUAUAAACAAGCUCAACAUGGAUCAUGCAUUAUUAUAAACAAGCUCAACAUGGAUCAUGCAUUAUUAUAAACAAGCUCAACAUGGAUCAUGCAUUAUUAUAAACAAGCUCAACAUGGAUCAUGCAUUAUUAUAAACAAGCUCAACAUGGAUCAUGCAUUAUUAUAAACAAGCUCAACAUGGAUCAUGCAUUAUUAUAAACAAGCUCAACAUGGAUCAUGCAUUAUUAUAAACAAGCUCAACAUGGAUCAUGCAUUAUUAUAAACAAGCUCAACAUGUAUCAGUAUAUCUUAAAAAAGCUCAACAUGCAUUUAAAUGAUUACAAAAAAUUUAUAACAUCAAUACCUGAAUAAUGGUUCGAAGAAAGAUGAAAUGUGAAGAAAAGAGGGAACGCAGAAAGUUCACAGAAAUAUGGUUCACAGAAAUACGGUAUUGAAGAAAUACGUAAUGAGGGUUACGUAUUUCAAUGAAAAUAUAUUGUGUGAAAUGGGAGAGAUGAUCUUGGAUGGAAAUAAGGUUCGUAAUGGACGGGAUGAUAGGGUUUGCAAAAGAAGAGAAGAACGAUGAAGGUUGAGAUGAUAGUGACGUUUACGUAAUGAAGAGGAAACUGAAGCGGUUAUUGUUAUAUAUACGUAACCCUUUUACGGCGCUUUUUUAUAACCCUUUUACAGCGCUUGUUCAAAUAAGCGCUGUAAAAUGUCUCUUUAUUUUAUUUUUAAAACAUUAUUUUACAACGCUUAUUUGCAAAAGCGUUGUAAUAGACCUCCUUGUUUUAUUAUGUUAUAUGAAGAGUUUUGUUUAAAGCCUUUUACAGCGCUUUGUUAAACAAGCGCUGUAAAAGGCCUUAUUGUUUUUGUGUUUUGUUAUGUUAUUUUUUAAACAAGCUCAACAUGCAAAACCCACAUAGUAGUAACUGGUCACCACCAAAAUCCCUUCCUCUUCACCAAACUCUUCUCCUUUUAUGCAUCUUCUUCACAAACAUCAAAGCUUACUCUUUCACAAUUCAAUCUCUACCUCAACACCCUUUUUAUCUCUUUACAUUCCCUUUCCUUCUUAAAUCGAAACUUGGUAUUCAAGUUCAUUGCCAUGUUGCGAAAAAUGGGUUUGAGUCUGAUGUUUUUGUUAACAAUGUGUUUUUGGGGAUUCCCAUGAUGGUACAAGGUGUUUGAAGAAAAUCCUGUUAGAGAUAGUCAUGUUAGGUGUCUAAUAAUUAUUAUUAAUAAAGCUGUUUACAUCGCUUUUUCAAAUAAGCGCUGUAAAAUGUCAUUUUUACUUAUUUUCAAAAGCGUCGUUUACAGCGCUUUUUAUAAAAAGCGCUGCAAAAGAUCUCAGUAUAUUAUUUUUGUGUUGGUUUUAUUUGGGUUCAAUUUUGGAUGACUGUAACUGAUCAGACAUUUAUUCCAAUCGAAUUGGCACUUAAUUUACAUUAUAUAAGUGACAUUAGUAUAAAACACUCAAUUCUGCCAUAUUAGUAUAAAACACUCAAUUCAAAUUACAUGCAUAUUUAUCACAAUAAUUCAGAUUACAUGCAUAUUUAUCACAAUAAUUCAGAUUACAUGCAUAUUUAUCACAAUAAUUCAGAUUAUAUUCAUAUUUAUCACAAUAAUUCAGAUUACAUGCAUGGCUUAUAUAAAACAAUUAAACAUAUACAUUAAGAUGCCCUUCUUCUUUUCCUGGUGGAAUUCACAUUUGUUUGUCCAUUUACAAUACGAAACGAUGGAUUAAUCCAAAUUCCCUCAUCAUGAUCAUCUCUAAGAUAUAAACCUCAUCAGUUGAAUCAAUUUCAUGUGGUUGUUGUGAUGUUGCAAAUAAAAUCCCUCAUCAUGAUCAUCUCUAAGAUAUAAACCUCAUCAGUUGAAUCAAUUUCAUGUGGUUGUUGUGAUGUUGCAAAUAAAAGAUCAUUACCAACAUCUUCAUCAUUAUUGUUAUCAUCACUUAUUUUAUUGGUCGAUAGGACAACAUACCAUUUAUCAUCAGAAGGAUCAGUGACAUAAAACACUUGUUGAGCUUGCGACGCUAAAAUAAAAGGCUCGUCUUUGUAUCCCACCCUAUUAAAAUCGACAAGCAAGAAUCCUGACUCAUCAAUCCGAAUGCCAUUAUUAUCGACCCACUUGCAACCAAAUAUAGGAACACGAAACAUUGUGUAGUCUAACUCCCAUAUGCGCUCGAUAACCCCAAAAUAUGAUAGAUUUGCAUAUAUUGGGUUUUUGUCUUUUGCACUUGAGACAUGCAUCGCUUCAGCUACGAGAGUGACUCCACUAUUUUGCAUAGUGGUCUGAUCAUCUUGUUCUUUGGUAUAAAAUGUGUAGCCGUUAAUAACAUAACCAGUGUAAGAAAAGACAUGUAAGCUCGGACCAUUUGCUAGCCACCUCAAUCUAUUUGAAAUUGAUCCGGGGUCUAUAUCAAAUUUUGACAUUAUGUGAUUUUUUAACCAUGUUACAAAACUUCGAUUGUGCUCUCGAGUUAUCCAAUUUUGAUUCCUAUUCAUGUUCAAACGAGAUAACUGAUCAAUGUGUAUUGUAACAUACGGUUGAACCUCAUCAUCAUUGUGCAGAACAUACAAUUGUGCCUGCUCCCAUUCUGUCCUUGAUAUAGUCAGUAGUCUCCUUCCAGUUAUCCCUUCUCCUGAUAGUCUUCCCGAAUGACGAGACAUGGGAAGCCCUAUGGAUUCAACAUUGGACAGAUAUUCAGUACAAAAUUCAGCAGCCUCUUCAACAAUGUAUCGUUCAGCAAUACAACCUUCUGGUCGACUUCUACUUUUUACGUACCCUUUUAAUAUUUUCAUAUAUCGUUCUAUCGGAUACAUCCAUCUCAUAUAAGCUGGCCCACAAAGUUGUGUCUCCUUAACCAGAUGAACAGUAAGGUGAACCAUUAUAUCAAAAAACGAUGGUGGGAAAUACAUUUCAAGCUCACACAAAGUAACAACAAUUUCCCUCUGCAAUGUCGGUAAUUUCUGAGGGUCGAUCACUUUACUACAAAUUUCCCUGAAGAAGAAACAUAAUCUAGUUAAGGCUAGUCGAACUUUUUCAGGUAAAAUGGAACGUAUACCUAUUGGUAGCAAAUGCUCCAUUAUAAUAUGACAAUCAUGGGUCUUCAAACCUUUUAACUUGAGGUCUUUCAUACAAACCAAAUUUUUAAUGUUCGAAGAGUAUCCUUCUGGAACUUUAACUUCGUGUAGAAAUUUACAUAAAACAAUUUUUUCCUUUCUAGAUAGAGUAUGAGCGGCUGGAGGUAGAUAUGUGCGAUUUCCUUUCUUUACUGGAGCCAGUUCAUUUCUUAUUCCCAUAUCGACCAAGUCCAAUCUUGCAUUGACGCCAUCUUUAGACUUUCCUGGAACAUUGAGUAACGUACCAAUAACACUUUCAAAUACAUUUUUUUCAAUAUGCAUCACAUCGAGGAAAUGUCUUACAUACAAUGACUUCCAAUAUGGCAAUUCAAAGAAAAUUGACUUUUUCUUCCACCCAGUUUUCACCAGCUCUCCCGCAAAAGGUUUGCCAAAUUUAUUGGUCAAACCUUGUACUUUUUCAAGUAUUUGAUAUCCAGUCGGUGCUAAAGGAGCUUUACCUUCCUCUGAUUUUCCAUUGAAUGCAUUUCUCCACCCACGAUACUGAUGACUAUAAGGUAAAAAUCUACGAUGUCCAAGAAACACAUUCUUCUUACAAUGUUUCAACCGCAUCCAAUUUGUACUCUCUUCACAUAUAGGACAUGCACACUGACCUUUAAUGCUAUAUCCUGAUAAAUUACCAUAUGCUGGAAAAUCAUUAAUUGUGCCGAACAACAUAGCCCUCAAAUUGAAACACUUUUUCCUAUACCCAUCAUAAACUUCCACACCUGUCUCCCACAGAAUUUUUAAAUCUUCAAUUAAAGGAGUCAAGUAUACGUCGAUAUCAUUCCCCGGUUGUUUGGGUCCAGAAAUUAACAGAGACAACAUCAUAAACUUACGCUUCAUACAUAACCAUGGAGGUAGGUUAUAUAUUACCAAAAUCACAGGCCACGUGCUAUGUGAGAUGCUUUGAAGACCAUGUGGAUUCAUUCCAUCAGUAGAAAGUGCAAGUCUUAGAUUUCUUGACUCUAUCCCGAAUUCAGGAUACUCGUGAUCAAUUUUUGCCCAUUGUGGGGAAUCUGCAGGGUGUCGAAACAUUCCAUCUCUAAUUCUUUCAUCUGCAUGCCAUGUCAAGUGUUUUGAAUCUUCUUCACUGCGAUACAUGCGCCUAAAUCUUGGUAUUAUAGGAAAAUACCACACGACUUUUGCUGGAGUAGAUUCUUUCUUCUUAUAUCGAGAGACAUUGCAUUUCGGACACGCCUUAAGUAGUUCAUAUUCGUUUCGAAAUAAAAUGCAAUCGUUAGGACACGCAUGAAUCCUUUCGUAACUCAUUCCAAUAGAACACAAAAUCCGUUUAGCCUCGUAGGUUCGACUGGGAAGUUCAUUAUCAUCUGGCAACAUAUCUUUUAUGAGUGUUAAUAAUUCCGUAAAGCUUUUAUCAGACCAUCCAUUACUCGCUUUUAAGUUGUACAACUUUAAUAUCGCUGACAGUCUUGUGAAUUUAGUACAACCAUUAUAUAAUUCUUUCUCUGCAUCACUCAACAAACUUUCAAACAUUUUAGGACAAUCUCGAAGAUCUUCUUCAACUGCUUUUGCAAUCUCAUCAACUCGGUCCGGCUCAUAUGUAUCUGUAUCGAAAUCAGUAGAUCCCUCCUGCUGGAAAAUCCUCCUUCUCCGAAGGAUCUUCUCCCUCCCUAGCAUCUUAGGUCUAUCCCUUAUGUCUUUUUGGAUGACAAAAGGGGAGAAUUAAGUUAGAUUUUCAUUUUUUUUGUCCUGCUUUCUUGUUGUAAUUCUGCAACUUUUGAUGUAUCUUUGCCAAAUUUAAUGAACUUUUGUUAUCUUUAAUGAAACUCUUUCUGAUUGCAUUCAAAUAUUUUAUUUUAUGUUGAAUUAACAAAUGCACAAAUUGAGGGGGAGCUGUUACAGCUCUUUAUCUUAGAAUCAAAUUAAAAUCUAAAUUAACAUGUUUGUCAUCAUCAAAAAGGGGGAGAUUGUUGAGACAAACUCUCUAUUUUAAAAGUUUUGAUGAAAAUAAACAAAGGUUAAUUAAGAAUGUUAAUUAUGAUUCUAAAUGUUAUGUUAAUUUAACUUGUGUUCUUGAGUGGUUUUAAUUAAGAGCAGAAUCAAGCAAAUACAAGAAAAGACAACAACAAGAUCAUUCUACAUCAUAAACAGAGAAUGAUCUUCAGCUUCACCGAAUUAUCUAUCACAGCAUGUUGUUCAAAGUUUAUCUACAUCGUUAACAAAGAAUCUGUCCUGGAAAUUUGUUCAUAUCUAAUCAGUACAUGGAAAGGAACAAGUAGGAUUCAUCCAAGCUCAAAAAGGCUAUUUGAUCACAAAGAUCAAAGGGUUCAAACAUGGACAAAAGUCAUGACGGCUUAAGAACUCCAAAAUUCAAAUGUCAAGAAAACUUGAUCAAACUGGGUAUAUGACAAGACAAGAACAAAGGAAAUACAGAAAAUUUAAAACGGGAACUCCAGAAUGAUUAUUGAAGCUCAAGAAAGUUCAAACUGUUAAAACCAAGAACGCUAAUCAUUCUCCGUUUUCUGCACAUCAACAACAGCCUUGCAUCCUCUCUGUUUCAGUCUGCAAUUCGCUUCAAAUCUUCUCCAACCUUCUCUAGCUACACUCAAGACUCAAGACAGAUAAUGUACCAUCCAAGAUCAAUGAAGAAAUGUCAAAGAAAGGACAGAGAUGCUUUAAAUGCUAAACCUUAAAAGUCAAAAAGCUAUUUCAAAGAAGGAUUAUUUUUAUUCUAAAAAUAAUGUUUCAGUCAAAAAGCUAACAACUCUUGUACCUUCAUUUAAGUACAUCUACAACCUAUAAAUAGAAGGCCAUUAUCUCAGUUCUAAACAAGAAAUUCAAGUGCUAAGUAAUCAACAAUAUACAAUCACACUUAAGCUUGAAAUUCUGCAAAACAGAGACAACAUCAUUUUAUGCAAUUCGCGAAACAGCCACUGCUGCACAUUCACAUAUCAGCUGCGAAAUUGUCUUUAGAUACUCUGUAAAGAAUCUAUUCUCAAACAAGAGUUGAGCAAUAUCAGAUUAUGUCAAAUUCAAUCAUUUGAAAAAACUCAAACUAUAAGAGUUUCUUUAUAGUUUGUUUAAGAUUGCUUCCUAUCAAGGUUAGAUAGGUGUUGUAAUUGCUUUCUGGGUGGAAAGUAAUUAAGAAAGAAAUAGAUCAAGGUUGAUUUAUUCUAGGAAAACAGAGGCAACAUCAUUUUCUGCAAUUCGCGAAACAGCCACUGCUGCACAUUCACAUAUCAGCUGCGAAAUUGUCAUUAGAUACUCUGUAAAGAAUCUAUUCUCAAACAAGAGUUGAGCAAUAUCAGAUUCUGUCAAAUUCAAUCAUUUGUAAAAACUCAAACUAUAAGAGUUUCUUUAUAGUUUGUUUAAGAUUGCUUCCUAUCAAGGUUAGAUAGGUGUUGUGAUUGCUUUCUGGGUGGAAAGUAAUUAAGAAAGAAAUAGAUCAAGGUUGAUUUAUUCUAGGUGUUGUAAGAUUAAGAAGGUUCUUCAUUUUAAACACUUAGUGGAAAAUCUCACAGUGUGAGGACUGGACGUAACCCACGUUGGGUGAACCAGGAUAAAUCUUUGUGUGGUAUUCUCUUUCCUUUCUCCUUCUUUAUUAUACUGCAUUAAUCAUUUAAGAUAAAAUAGAAACUGAUUUUCUGCUAAUUUAAGAACGUUCUCUGUUUUAUAACAUAAACCAAGAACGUUCUCCGUUUUCUGUUUCAUAACCAAGAUCAUUCUUGAGUUAUUUUCUUAAGUUUUAACAGGAAUUUUUAAAAGGCAUAUUUACAAUUCAAACCCCCCUUUCUUGUAAAUCGAUAUUUUUACUUCAACAAUUUCAAAACAGAACAGAUUAUGUGGUAUGAGUUUUUGACAAUUUUUGACAAUUUCAAAACAUAACAGAUCAUGUGUAGAAGAGAUUUAAUAUAUAUAUAUAUAUAUAUAACAAAACAUAACAGAUCAUGUGUAAAAAAUACCUGAGACAACGUAGAUGGCCGCACAGUACGUAGAAGAUAUUAGGGUUCCCAAUGUAUAUAAUUAUUUGAAAGAUGUAGAGGAUAUGAGGGUUUCCAACGUAAAUAAUUAUUUGAAAGAUGUAGUUUACAGCGCUUGUGAAAAAAGCGCUGUAAUAGGUAGUUAAAUUCAAUGAUAGCGCAUGUAUUUUACAGCGCUUGUGAAAAAAGCGAUGUAUUAGGUAGUUCAAAUAUUUGAAAGCGCAUGUGUUUACAGCGCUUGUGAAAAAAGCGCUGUAACUGAUACGCGAAAGCGCUUCAUUUUACAGCGCUUGUUUUGCAGCGCUUGUCAACAAAAGCGCUGUAAAAGGCUCCGUUAUUUUUAAAAUAUAUUUACAACAGCGCUUGUGUUUAGCAAGCGCGGUAAAAAGGACGCUGUUAAAUGUCAUUUUUGGUGUAGUGGAAGUUAAGUCAUUACAAAGAUGAAUUUAAAUAUUCUCUGCAACACUACGGAUUUGGUAUGAAACUACUUUGGGCUGAUGUUAAGAUAAACUCUAGAAUAAUUUUUAAAACUUGGUAAUGGAAAGAGUCUUUCUAGAAGGGAGAGACAACAACUCACGAGGACAACAACCGAUAUUUUCAUGCUAGUUCUUUUUGAUGUAUUUAUCACAGUUCCGUUCAUGGAGUUUCUGUUGCCAGUAUUCUUGAAACUGUUCCCCAACAUGCUGCUUUCUACUUUCUAGGAUAAGAUGAAAGAAUAGGUAAUUAUUAAUGUACUCAUCAAACAUUACUUGCCUUAUUGCUGGCGUGCUUUAUUAUCACUCAAUUUUGGGAAAGCUUAACUUGUAGGAGGCAUUGAAAAGAAGGCUAAAUGCAAGAAUAAAAUAUGAUAUGUUUCUUCAAGAUACUGUGAAAGAAAUGACGAAGGAGAUUCAUAAUUCCCGAAGUGGAGAAAUGAAGAGACAAUAGAAGAACUUGAUGAAUUUAUGAACAAGGUCAAUCAUGUUAUUCGUAAUAUAGCUAUUUUAUAUUUCAGCUGUCAUCUUAUGGACAAUAUUGUAUAUUAUGUUCGUAUUUAGUUUGUUAAUGGAACAUGUCAGAACAGGUGCUUGAGUUUCAAAAGAUGCGAUCUUAGGAUUUGCCAAAUUAUUUAACGAUGAGUUCACUUUGGAUAACAUAGUAGGUUGGUCCUUCUACCAUUGGUUAUGUUCAACUAAUUGUGAUCUUCUGUUAUGAAUCUUAUAUUUUGGAUCUCCAUUAUCAUUAUACUAAUAUGUCUUUUGGUUUUUAAAAUGGAUAAACAGGCCUCGCUUGGUAAAUAUGUGUAAAUACAUGGCUCUGAUUUUGGUGUAUGUAUAUAAUCAUUGGCUCUUAUAGGUUAGAAGAUUUUAGGGAAGUUUCAUUUAAUGCUGUGUGCCAGAUUUUUUAUUUUAUUUGGUGUAGAUCAGGAUUUUUUUUUCCAAGCAUUAUACAUAAUACAUAUCUUAUAUAUGUUACAUGAAUCUAUGAAUGUUUGCCUUCUCACUUACUUUUUUGUAUCAUUGUUAUUUUGAAAAUAUAGAUUUGAAAUUUUAGGCUUUGACAGGAUCAAGAAUGAUGAUAAAUUGAUUAAAGAAGGUGUGGAGUCUCUUUCUGAAGCAGAGCUUCGUCAAGCUUGUAGAGAUCGAGGAUUACUUGGAUUGCAUUCAGUGAAAGAAAUGCAGCAUCAGGUUAACAAUAAAUGUUUAAACAUAAUUUGUACACUGGAGCUCAAUUAUGGAGUCUCCAACAUUGUGUUAAUUUAUUGGCUGGGAAAUUCUUGAGAAUGAGAAACUAGCCAUAUAAUUGCUACUUUCAGAAAUUUGAACCAUUAUCUUCUUAUUUUUGCAAUUUUCAGAAACUUUAUCUAUUUCUAAUUACUACUUUGAGAACCUUCUUAUUGAACUUUUUUUUAAUCAAUUUUAAUUGAAAAUCAUUGAUAUGAUAUCCAGAUUUAACUCAAACAACACCCAAGAUUCUCAAAUGCUAUUGUGUGGAGUGAAUAACAAAAAUAAUGUCUUAAAAACAAGGGUUGUAGGUAAACAACAUUUUGUCUUUCUUAUUUUUAUUAUCUAUGAUAUGAUCGAAGAUUAUUGGUUUAUAAUCCUCUAUAUAUAAUAAAUAUUUGCUCUCCAAUUUAUAAGGCCCUGCAUUUGAAAUUAUUUCUUAAUGAAAUGUAUGAAAUAAUAUUUGAUUUUGAGUUUAUUACCACUAUCAAAUUGGGGAAUUAGUUUGAUGUUUGCAUGUUUUGAUUUUGAGAAUUUGAUCUUGUUUGAUGUUAAUAUUAAAGUCUUGAUUAUGUAUGAAAUAGUGAGGUUGAAUUUAAUAUAUAUACUUAUAUGUUAUUUUCAGUCAAUACAUACUUGUAAUUGUCACGAGAUAGUAGACGUUCUUCUUAUUCUAGUUGCUGGUCUAAUCUUGGAACAACAUCAAUACAUCAUUAGGGACUAUCUAGAUGAAAAGUGAGGGGUUUAGUUUGUUUGUGUUGAAUUGGGUAUUGUUUAGAUAUUCAUGUCUAUGUUUAAUGGUUAUUCCAUUUGUUAAGUUGGCAAUGAUGCAACUGUUAUUGCUGGUACUUUUUCUUUCUCUAUGUGUCAUAGAUAUUUAUCACACUUAACACUUUGAACUUAUCUUUAUCAUUAUCAUGAUAUAUAUUUGUUUAUUUUUAGGGAACAUAUAUACUUUUGGGCUAUUUGUAUCCCAAUGUAAGUUUCAUAAAUUGAUUUUUUUUUUAAAAAGAUGACGAAUAAGAGAAAGAAUCAUAACAAUUUGAAUGUAGGAUUUAAUUUUUAAUAAAAAAAACUAGUAAAAAACUUGUACAAUCGCACCAGUGAAAAAAACUAAAGAAUCAUUUAGCAAGAUUAAGAGGUUUUGGCCCUGGUCCAAACACUGACUGCCUCAACUUGAUUAUGUCUAUUCGCGUUCCGGUUGCAACAUAUUUCUUUUUCGGGUAUGCAAGAGUAGACAGCCUCNNNNNNNNNNNNNNNNNNNNNNNNNNNNNNNNNNNNNNUCCCUUUCAUCAUGGUACGAUCACAUAAAUAAUACUUUUUUAAGUGAAAUCUGCUCUUUAUCCAAAAAAGUUACGAUGUCCUAAGGUUGGUCCAACAUAUCAUGAGGUCUAAAGCAAAACUAUUAGAUAUGAUAUUUUCAAAAAUUAAUAAAUAAAUUAUUAAUAUUUUAUUUAAUAAUUAUAGAAAAUUUCUUUAGUAGAAUUAAUAGUAUUUUCAAAUCUAUUUUCUCUAUAUUUUUCAAAAAAUAAAAUAAGACAUUUUAAUUGUUUUAUAACAACAUCAAAAACUCAUGUAAAAUUUUUCAUCUUUUAGUUGAAGAAGAAAAUAGUGUGUAUACUACUACUCCAAUAACUCAUGUUAAAAGUGUGUUCACUAAUAUUUCUCAUGAGUUAAUUGUUUCAUGAUUUCUCAAUUUAUAACUAAUAAUUCUCAUAUGAUGAAUGCACUCACUUUUGUCUCCUAAUUUCUAACUAAUAUUUUUCAAUUUAUAUAAAUUUUGUCAGUUAAUAUCAAAAGUUAAGACGAAAUUUUACAUAGAUUGAAAAAUAUCAAUCUAAAUAAAUAAUGAUUCUACCAAAAAUUAAAAAAAUAUUUAAAAUAAAAAAAAUAUUUUUUUUACGACGUCUAGGGCGAUCGUUUUAGGUGCUGUCCCUUGAGUCUGUUCUAACACUUCGUGUGUAAAAUUUUGUUCCAGCACGUCGUGUUAAGAGUUUUUUUUGACGUAUUUGUUAAACGCGUUUUUUUAAUAAGAAAACUAAUUCAAAUGACGUCAGCCUCAACCUGAUUAUGUGUCUUCCAAUAGGCGUUCCGGUUGCAACAUAGAAGGUUUCUUUUUCGGUUGACGACGUCUAGAGCAAUCGUUUUAGGUGCCUGUCCUUAAGCCUGUUCUAGCAAAGAUUUUGCUCUAGGACGUAGUGUUAAGAGUUUUGUUUGACGUAUUUGUUAAACGACCAUCUGUUAAAAGCUUUUAAUGUCACGUUGUGUUAAGAGUUUUGUUGACGUGUUAAUCGCUGUGAAUAUCUAAUAGAUGAUUAUUUAAUUUAAUGUCUUUAAAUUAAAUAAUGAUAAAAAUCAUCUUAAUCUUAUCUUAAUUUAAUUCUUUGUUUUUAUUUUUAGAAGUUUAACUUUUUAACUUUAACAAACAUAUUUCACAUUUCACAUAAAACAUUUGUAAAAUGACACUUUUUAUCACCGUUAUUAAGAAUAAUUUCUUUUUUUCAAUUGUUUUAAAAAAAAUUCUUAAUUCUUAUUCUCAAUCUCAUUUUAAUUGAAAAUCAUAUUCGUUUUCUAUAUCAUAUUUCCUAGACUUUGUAAUUUUUCUCUUUUGUUUUAAUUUAGGUGUUUUGUGUUUACAAUCUUUUCAUUGCAAGGUUUAUUAUAGAUUAAGGAAAAAUAUGUAACAUAAUUAUUAGAAGUAUAUAGUUUUUUAUAUUUAGAGAUUGAAGUGAUAUUUAUUUAUUUUCCUUUAAAAUGGCCACGGUUAUAUUAUGGUCAUCAGAAAAGGAGUAUAUUAUGUUGGUGAAAAUAUGUAAAAUUAAUAAUAUAUUAAAAAAAUUAAUUUGUCUAAAAUUGAUAUGCAUUUUUUUUGUUUCAAGUGCAACAAACUAAGUUAUAUCAAUCAUGAGUAUUUAAAUGAAAAUAUUGACGCGGUAAUUGAAACUAAUAAAAAAUUGCAAGUUAUUCAUAUGGAAAUAAAUAUCAAUUUAGUGAUAAAAUUUUAAUUUUAUAACCUCAAGAAAUAGAGAUUAAAUUUCAUAAUAAACAUAUAUAAAAUUAUCAUCAGUGUUACAUCUAUAUCUAUUACUAAUAAUUUUGUCUCCCCCAAAUUAAAAAAAUAAAAAUAAAAAGUGUUACUAAACAAGCUAACUAUGAGUCAUGACAAUGACAAUGACAAUAGUUGCUCUUAAUGUGUAUAUAUUCCCAUCCAUUACAAUAGUAUUGUAAAAUAUAUUGUAAGUAUUUUACAAUUUUUUAGACAAAAGUAUUUGAUUCUUGAAGAAUAAGAUAUUAUAAACUUUUUAAUUUUAUAGAUUUACAACAAGGAAAAGUACUUGCUCAUUGUAUUGAAGAUUUAUUUGGUAGAACCUUUGUACCUGCCUAGCUAACUAGGGUGAAGCAUAUUUGGGCUCCUAACCUCAGGUUAUAUACAAUUUAAUGUGUGGAAUAAUUUUUCCAUCCAGCAUAUAUAAUGUACUUAGGAUAAAAUAAAAUGGAUAAUGAGGAACUUGUCACAAGGUUGGUAAAUAUCCACCACAGGUACUAGUAGCAGUAGCGAAGGAGGCUCCAUGUUAUUUUUUAUUUUUUGUACAAAGGAGGUUCCAUGUUCAAUUCCUUAGUUUUUUGUCUUUUAACACAUGAUGGAAACUUAUCAUAAAAAAUAAAAAUAUUAAUAAAAAAUAAGCCACAAAUUUCAAAAUGCCUUAAGGAAGAGAAUAAUUGGAAAUAUUUAAGUACAAUAGGAUUGGUUGUUAUGAAUUAUAAAAGAAUGAUAAACAAUAAUGAAAAUAAAAACUACUUUGUAUUUGUUAACGAUAAAGAAUAUAUAUAAUUCUUUUAAAAAAUCAUCUAUAACAAUAAACAUUGCAAAGGCAAAAGAAUGUCUAUAAAAAAUUACUUAAAAAACACUUACACUAGAUUUAUAAUUUAAGUUUUAAGAUUUUUUUUUCUUUUCAAAUUUUCAUUUUUUUCAGAUAAAAAUUCUUAAAUAUUUUUUAAAAAAUGAGACAAACAUGUUUGUCACAAUGUGAGGAUGUCGUCUUGGAUCUCAAAUAUUUUUAUAUCUCAAAUUUAUAUUUUUAAUUUAAUUAAUAUUAUUAAUUUUUUAAUAUUAAAUAUGUUAAUCUUUAUAGUAAAUUUUAUUCUCUAAUUUUUGUACGAUUUAAUAAAUAAUAUAUUCAAUUAUGUGGUUGUAUUUAAUAUUUAGCUGUAAAUAAGUUGUUUAAUAUUGUAUCAAGUCAAUUUCUUUUAAUAUUAUAAAAAAAAUUAGACUUAAAAACAUCCAAUUUACUAUUGUUAAUUUUAACGAGUUUUAUUUUCUAUUUUACUUUAAAUGUUAAUAUUAUUGGAUCGACCCUAUCCUUGAAAAUCUCUAAAACGAAGGGAGAUGUUUUAAAUUAAAGCUAGUUUAAGUACUUAAUGAGAACUAAAUAACAUAAAUAUAAAGAUAUUAAUUAAAACAUCAUUAUUUGUAACAUAGAAAUUGACCAAGAGUCCUAAGAUGGUCAAGAGAUUGUGUCCCUUCGCAAAGGGUGCAAUUUUUUUUUUAUAAGAAAAAAGUGAUUUCCUACAUGAUUGCAAAAUGUCCACUAUCACUAUGAUGUGAAGUUUAAGAUAGCUGACUCAAAUAUACGCUAUGUUACUCCCUCUACUUCUAUUGGACUUUAUAACACUUAAAGUAAUUAAUGAGUGGAUUAUUGUCUAAUUAAAAAUCUUACCAAUAAAAUUAAAUGAAAUAAAAUUAUGAUAAAAGGAAAAAUGGUGCAGUGCCAACAAAAACCAAAUCUCAAAGAUAAAGACAACGACGAUUAGGGAGACUAAAUUCAUUAUGAAAGAAAUAUUCCCUAAUAAAAUUAAGUAAAUAAUCUGAAUGUCAUAUUGAUUUUGAAACUCCAACAUAGAGGAGGACACAUAUAAUCUCUAGAAUAAAGACAUGAUCAAUCAAUUUGCAAGCAGCCUAAAAAAAAUUACUGUGAGAUGGUCGAGACAAUCACGUUCCUUCUAACUUUUAGAACAAACAAAGAUGAUCGAAUGCAUAGAAGCAUCCAAAUUGCAUUGAAAAAUGUAAAACAACCUAUUGCAUAAUUUACAAGCCAAAGCACACAAAAAUAUGGGAGGAGCUUCCAUAAGCCACAUUACACAAAGCUAAAUUGAUGCCAUAACACACCCAUGAAGAGAGAAGUAAAUUGAAGGAGUAUGAAGUAAAGAUAGAGUGAGAGGUAAAUUUCUCAGAGCUUUGAUUGGUAGUGAAAAGAAGUUGAGAAAAGAGAAAUGUGUGAAAAAUAGUGUAAGAAAAGAUAAAUAAAAGAGAAAUAGAAUAAAUUUGAUGUAUUAAUUGGUUGAAGAGAAAUAGACAAGAAAUAGAGAAAAAAUGUUAAAAAUUAUUCGUGAAAAUGCGACAAUAUCUUUAAAUUUUACAGCAUUAUAUUUUUAAUAUAAUAAAUAACAUUUUAAUAUUAUAUAUUUAAUUUAUUGAAUUAAUUUUUUUUAUCCAUUUCUUUAAUAUUUAACUAAAUGAUUUAAGAUACUUAAUUUAAUUAUUAUUUUAGUUAUUGUUUAAAUUAAUUAAUUAAUUAAAAUCAUUAUAUUGAAAUGUUAGACACAAAUAUCAAGGUAAGAAUAUUAGUUUAGCAAUGACAAAUCAUUCUAUUUGGUUUCUUGAUAGUUUUGCAAAUAUAAUAAAAACGUAGGUCCCAUUAAUAUUUCUUCCCUCUUUCAUUUUUUAUUGCUUUGCCAUUGAUCUUUCUCUCGUCUAUCAGUCUCCUGUCCUUCUUUCUCCCAUACCAAUCACAACUCUAGGGUUUCUGAUCUUGUUUAUUUAUCAAACUAGGAUUGCACGCAUUUAUUGAACAUUUUGUAUGUACAUUGCUACAAAGCUUUCGAAAUUAAACAUUAAUAAGUGACUUAGAAGAGACAUAAUUAACUCACACAAUUACGAGAUCCUAAAUUCAAACACGGAACAAAAUAUCCAACCUAACAAUAUCAAUAUUUGUCAGUUAAAAUAUAAUUUAAAAACCUUUCAACAUAAUUCCAACAAUUACUAACAAUAAUAACACAUCGUUGCUUGCAUAUUCUAAGAUACACAACACAUGAAAUUGAUUGACCACAAAAUAUUAAUAAUAAUAACAAUUUACAUGCUCCUACCAAUUCUUUCCCUUAUUUUUCUUCCCCACCUCUACAUAUAUUAUCAAAAGCUAAGAUCCAACGGUGUAUUUUACAUUACCGAAAACUAACAAAAAUAGCCAAAAAUUGAGAGUUGGACAGCAUUCGCCAUUUUAAUAUAUCAAAUAAGCAUACUUCAUAAAAAAACAAAUUACCCUGUCGUGUUUAGAGGAAGACAUCUAAAUAAAACUUUAGGCAUGAGCAUAAUUUCUAUAAGUACAUUUUCUUUUUUCUAUCACAAUCACAUUGGUACGUUGGAUCAUCAGAUUUUAACAGAACAUGGUGACCCCAUAAUAAAAUACAGGUCGUAUGUAUAUAUAAUUGGUAAAAUUAUGUUCUCAUGAACAUGCAAACCAAAAGUUCUGAUUUCAGAGGCCCCUUGAUGUAUGCCUUUUCCAUUGCUGAUAUUCUUUGUUGUAUUAUUAGUGGAGAUGUUGCAACUACAAGAAGGGUACAUCUCCUCUCGCACCAUAUCAUCUCUACAUCUACAGGUAUUACAUCUCAACCAAAUCAGCUUAUCAUAGAUUCAAAAUACAUAAACCAUAGUCCAUAAAUAACAAGCUAAAACACUCGACCAAAUCAGUAAUCACACACAUCCUACAAUGGCUGUAGUGCUUUGGGCAUUGGCUUUAGCAAGCCUAUGCUACCCUCUAGCCUCAACCAAUGCUCAAUCACAUGCAGCUGCACCAUCAAAGUUUCCAACCACAACAGCAUCUUCACCCUCCACAUUGCCAAUUGCAACUUCACCAUCUUUAGCCAAACAACAACCUGUUGUGGCAGCAACUCCUGCUAGUAGUACAAAGAAACCACCAACAGCAACUUCUCCUACUUGGAACAAACCAACGAACACAAUCACAUCAGCAGCACCUUCCAAAUUACCAACCAUAAUCCCCGCUGCACCUUCCAAGUUGCCAACUGCAGCUUCUCCAACUUCUGGCACACCGUCAGCUGCUAAAACACCACCCAUUGUGGUAGCAGCUCCUCUUGCCUCAAGAAAACCACCAGUAGCAACAUCAACUCCAACAGCUGGCCCCGUGAAAUCACCAGUUCCCAAAUAUACAUCUCCAACAUCUUCCCCUGUGAAGUCAUCAGUUCCCAAAGUCACAACGCCAGCAUCUACUCCUGUAAAGUCAUCAGUCCCCAAAGUUACAACUCCAGCAUCAGCUCCUGUGAAGCCACCAGUUCCAAAAGUAACAUCUCCAACAUCUUCCCCUGUGAAGUUACCAUCUCCAAAGGUUACAACUCCAACAUCUUCUCCUGUGAAACCACCGGUUCCAAAAGCUAUAACUCCAGCAUUUGCUCCUUUGAAACCUCUUAUUCCAAAACCUACAACUCCGGCAUCUGCUCCUUUGAAACCUCUUGUUCCAAAAACUACAACUCCAACAUCUGCUCCUUUGAAACCUCCAGUUCCUAAAAUUACAACUCCAACAUCUGCUCCUUUGAAACCUCCAGUUCCUAAAAUUACAACUCCAACAUCUGCUCCAGUGAAACCACCAGUACCCAAAUUUACAACUCCAACAUCUGCUCCUGUAAAACCACCAGUUCCAAAAGCUACCACUCCAAAAUCUGCACCUUUGAAACCACCAGUUCCAAAAGUUACCACUCCAAAGGCUGCACCUGUGAAACCACCAGUUCCAAAAGCUACCACUCCAAAGGCUGCACCUGUGAAACCACCAGUUCCAAAAGCUACCACUCCAAAGGCUGCUCCUGUGAAAUCACCAGUUCCAGAUCCUCCAAAACUUGCUCCUGUAAAAACACCAGUCCCCAAGGUUACACCAGCAUUAAGCCCAAAAGCUCCAUCUCCUAAAAUUCUACCACCACCACAUCCACCCAAAAAAGCACCAGUUUCUCUACCACCACUACCUCUAGCACCUGUUUCACUUGCACCAUUACCGUUGCCACCAGCUUCUUCACCACCAAAGGCAUCCCCAACACCUGCAAAGGCACCAAAAGCACCAACACCAUCCAAAGAAACACCAGCACCAGCACCACAUAAAAAGAAAGCACCAAAGUCUUCACCUGUUCCUUCCCCAGCAAUUAACCCACCAUCACCUGCACCAGCACCUGCAAUAGACACACCAUCAUCAGCACCAGCACCAACACCUGAAGAUGACACGCCAGAACCACCACCCCACAAGCACAAGAGAAGAAAACACAAGCAUAAGCAUAGGAGACAUCAUGCGGUAUCUUUAGCUCCAGAACCAACAAGUACAACAAUCAUUAGGAGGAGUCCCCCAGCACCACUAGCUGAUGAUACUACUCCAGCAGAUUCUGAUGAGUCACCAGCACCAGCACCAAGUCCCAAUGCGGUACCAUUUUACUUUAAGUUACAUUGAUAUAUUUAUGGACCUCUCUGGUCUGGAUUAUACAGCAUUAAUGCAGUCAUGUAAUCUCAGCCAUCUGAUCUUUAUCGGAUGGUUCGUACUCUAACUUAGAGAAACAGGUCUAUAUCACACAUUUAAACUGUUAUCCGGUCAAGAUCAAAUGGUCAGGAUUUACAACAGCGUGAAUGCGUGAUUGCACCCAAUCCACUUUCCUUACAUACAUAAAUGUCUAAUAGAAUGCGACAUAUAUCAUAAAAUUGGAUUGGUUUGAGUGGAGAAGAGUUUUGUUCUCCUUAUAUAAGAUCUUAAUUCAAAUCUUGUAAAUAGAGAAAUGACGUGUUAAGAGAGAUUUGUCCCUUACAUGGGACCACUUGGCUCGACCUGAAUUUGUUAGGGUCCAAUGUGAGAUCCAGUAACAAGGGUUUAGACCCAAAAAAGAAUAAGACAAAGAUAUAUACUUAAAUCUUUGACGCUACUCUAAGAUUGUGAAUCUUGAAAGUGUGAACAAUUGUGAAAAUGACUGUAUAUGUUGUUUAUGUUUCAAAUCCAAAGAGCUUUUUGCAUGUGAUAAAACUGGCUAAAGCUUCGUUACCAAAUCUUAUGAUUUUAUUUUCACAGAAUGGUGCACCAUCAUACCAAGGGCAAUGGAGAAAGAUAAUGGCAACUGGUGGACUUGCUGUUGCCAUUUUGUUAUGUGUCACUUGAAUACCUGCAGCAGAUGCUAUAUAUAUCAGGUCAUUUGAAGAAACAUGGAUUCACGCAAAGCGGUUAAAUUUGGUUUGCAAAAAUAUAAAAUUAUUUCAUAUGUAUGAAAAUGAAUAAUGAAAAAUUAUACUUAUAAAUUAUUAAUUUUUUAUCCUUCCGUUCUUUCAUUGUAUUGUGGUCUUUGCUCAAACAAUAUUAGUGAUAUGAGAUUUUGAGUUAUCAGGAAAUGCAAAGUGAAAUAUGUGUGUCUAAUACUUCAUGACAAGUCCAUUAUAGUCAGUUUUACAUUAUGAAUCCAAAGCCGAAGGAAAAUGCACAGUAAUGAGAUCAUGAACACUCAAUUGCUUAAAAAUAAAACAUGUGUAAUGUACCAGUACUUAAUACUUACACAUAUAAUUGUGUUACAAAUUAAAUAUGAGCAUGAAAACUCAUGCAAUGCUGGAGUAAAUGUUAUUGCUAUUUUCUAACAACAGUCAACAAUAAGGUCCCCAAAAUAAAUGUGCAGUAAUAAGGCAACCAUAAGAUCAGUUAGAACUAGUUUGUGACCCAUGCAACAUGUAAAUUUAUGCUUAUAUGUGAAAGUGAUUACUCAUUAUUUUAAAUGUAAAAAUAUAACUUAUUUGAACCAUAAAAACACAAUAAAUGUGAUUGUAGCACAAAAAGAUGUGUUUUCCAAUAUAAAAAAAAUAGUAAAAGCUGGGUGUUCUUAAUUUGACAAAUUUAAACAAGUAUAAAAUUUUUGUUAACAUCAUGGGUUGUUUAUUAAGAUGCAAUACCACAGCAAAUUGAACAUAACAAAAGAACUUCUCUCCUUUACUUAGUUGUAGUUUGUACCAAAUUUAUAAUAGCAAAACGUUAAAUUUCUGUUUGUAAAUACAUCGGAACGUAAUGGUAAGGAACUAAACAGUUUUGAUUGUUGAAACUAAAUCACACAUAUAAGCUGAAAAUUUUGUAAAUUGUAAUAAUAGGACUAAAAGGAAAACAAUGGUUAUAGUUAUAGUGGGAGUCAUCUUCCAUUCCCACAAUGAAAUAUUUCAUACAACCAAAGAAAUGCAUCGUGAUAAAUUGAUAAUCAUAUGCAACAGCUUACAAUAUACCCUAUGUUUUGAUAGGAAGAAGUCUAAGUACAUUUAAAUAAUUUAAACAACUGGGAAUUCCAUAUUGUAUCAUACGCUAAACCACAAACAUAACUGUUCUUCCAUUAUAAAUGCAUAAAGAACUUUCAAAAUAAAUGACACAUCUGAUGAAAUAACAACUAGAUUGAAGAAAAUGAGAAUUGUGUACUUUGAGAAACUAGCAACCAUUAGUUAAAGAGUUUAGCUAAUAAUUUCUAAAAUAUUGAUAUAAAACAUACAACUUAAAAGUCUUGUAAUUUUGCUAGAAAAGAAACAAAUUACUUAAGGUUGAACAGAUUUGCAUAUUACAAAAGAAGCAAUGACUUCAAUUAUCCACUUCCAGGAACAUGUGUGAAUUUUAGAAAUGUGGGGGGGCGAAAAGUAGCUCCCCAAUUUUAAGCUCACAACCCACAAUAAUAUAGCUUCAAUUGCAAUUUAUAGCUAAAGAAUCUAAUAGUUCUAUGAGAAUGAGACACCUCAAAAACUUGCAUAAAAAAUAUCUUACUUAACCACUAACUUAGUAAGGGACACCAAAGGAGUUUUAAGAAGGAGGUAUCGGUUCAAACUCAGAAAAACUAUCAUAACAGCUAACUUAAUAACAUUUGCCUAUUGAUUUUUUUCUUUUGCCAAUGUUUUACACAUAUGACCUGCAAAUUUGGUUUAGAUCAAUUUUAAAAUUUUGAAGAAGUGAAGUAACAAAGUUAAAAAAAAGUAAUAAAAUUUAAAAAUAAUAUGAAUAAUUGCAAGAAAGCCAUUACAGUUGCAUCAGAACAUCGGCUAGCUUCAAUAAUCAACUACACAAUUAUGAAUGAAAUUUAGUAAAAAAAUGUUAAAAUUAGUAGUGUUUAUUUUUGAAAAAUCAAAAACUUGUCUAAUAAAAUGAUUAAUUCUAAAAAAUAAUAAUAAUUAAGAAAUGGUUAUGCAAAAUUGCGAGUUACCUAAAGAGGGGUAAAAAAGACCAUUGCAAUUCAAACAUACAUCAGACAAAGAGAAUGGAUUUCACUUCAGAAUUGAUUCCAAAAUGAAACGUGAGAUUGGAUUGAAGUGGCGAUACGUAACCAAACAUGUCCAAAUCGCUUUUGAUGGGAUGAAACCUGCUGUUGAUGAUUUUCACCAGCCAGCCAAACAUCCUUUUUUUUAGAAUUGAUUCUAAUUUAAAAUAGAAAAAUAAAAUCAACUUUUUUAUAUAGAGUCCAUGUUGAUUCUAGAGGUAGUGUAAAUUUUGAUUCUAGAAUAGAAUUGAUUUGAC
RNAcentral lists this long non-coding RNA (40763 nucleotides) under Cicer arietinum (chickpea). RNAcentral describes it as "long non-coding RNA (CARI_LNC002280)". Lineage: Eukaryota; Viridiplantae; Streptophyta; Magnoliopsida; Fabales; Fabaceae. The record is from RNAcentral.